CAGCAGCCGCGGGAAUAUGAAGGGGGCUAGCGUUGCUCGGAAUGACUGGGCGUAAAGGGCGCGUAGGCGGCGGCCAAAGUCAGGGGUGAAAUCCCAGAGCUCAACUCUGGAACUGCCAUUGAUACUGUCGAUCUGGAGUAUGGAAGAGGUGAGUGGAAUUCCGAGUGUAGAGGUGAAAUUCGUAGAUAUUCGGAGGAACACCAGUGGCGAAGGCGGCUCACUGGUCCAUUACUGACGCUGAGGUGCGAAAGCGUGGGGAGCAAACAGGAUUAGAGACUCCUGUAGUCCCUGUCUCUUAUAC
Molecule: ribosomal RNA, 301 nt
Filed under: uncultured bacterium
Lineage: Bacteria
Description: partial 16S ribosomal RNA
Rfam family: Bacterial small subunit ribosomal RNA
Source: RNAcentral